AUUGAACGCUGGCGGCAGGCCUAACACAUGCAAGUCGAACGAGUGGCGGACGGGUGUGUAAUGUCUGGGACACUGCCUGAUGGAGGGGGAUAACUACUGGAAACGGUAGCUAAUACCGCAUACCAUCAGAUGUGCCCAGGUGGGCUUAGCUAGUUGGUGGGGUAACGGCUCACCAAGGCGACGAUCCCUAGCUGGUCUGAGAGGAUGACCAGCCACACGGGAACUGAGACACGGUCCAGAGUCCUAGGGGAGGCAGCGGUGGAGAAGAUGGCACAAUGGGCGAAAGCCUGAUGCAGCCAUGCCGCGUGUAUGAGGAAGGCCUGCGGGUUGUAAAGUACUUUCAGCGGGGAGGCGGUACCCGCAGAAGAAGCACCGGCUAACUCCGUGCCAGCCGCCGCGGUAAUUC
This 406-nucleotide ribosomal RNA is filed under the name uncultured bacterium. Its description in RNAcentral is "partial 16S ribosomal RNA". It matches the Rfam family "Bacterial small subunit ribosomal RNA", at positions 29 to 526 of the family's 1533-position model. The record is from RNAcentral.